UGUUGACACAGCAAUUAUUGAUGCUAUUGGCGUCAUCAGCAGAUGUAUCCCUCCCAUAAAUCCUACUGAUCCAGACUUUCAUAUGUUUGGGACCUUGCAAAAAUUCUGAUUUUUGUUCACUUCUUUUGAGAAGCUCACUUAAUUGUCUUCAUACUCCCUGGUUAAACAUUGUAAUAGAUAUUCUGCAUCUGUUGUUUGUGAAAGAUUAUGGGUUAUACUGAUAGGUAUUUUUUAUAGAAUCUUUUGUGUUUUGUCAUUUAUUUGGUAUGUUUUUCUUCUUCAUAACUGUUUGUUAUGAUUUGUGAUACCUUUUGAUUCUAGGAUCUACGUAUGUUCACAAAGAUGUAUUAUUCAGUUUUGCUAUGGAUGCAGACCAGGAGCAGUUAUCCAAGAAACGAACUGCAGAUAUUAAUUGUGGAAUAGGCUACAUUGCUUUUGACUUUACUGCAGUUGAUGUAGUUGUAUUGUUGUCUAUUUGUUUGGUUGCAUCAUGAGGAUUUUUGGGUGUGAAUUAUUCCACACUCUCAUCAAUUGUUGUGAUUGCAAAUAUUGAUACAAGCAGCAAUUAUACAGUUAUUUUUAGUUUUCAUGUCAAUUUCAGGUAAACAGGAAAAAGCUAAAGUCUUUGAGGAAUAAUGUGUGCUUG
RNAcentral lists this unclassified non-coding RNA (646 nucleotides) under Hevea brasiliensis (rubber tree). The record is from RNAcentral. Lineage: Eukaryota; Viridiplantae; Streptophyta; Magnoliopsida; Malpighiales; Euphorbiaceae.